This 1507-nucleotide ribosomal RNA is filed under the name uncultured bacterium. Its description in RNAcentral is "bacterial SSU rRNA". It matches the Rfam family "Bacterial small subunit ribosomal RNA". The record is from RNAcentral.
GUUUGAUCCUGGCUCAGGACGAACGCUGGCGGCGUGCCUAAUACAUGCAAGUAGAACGCUGAAGAGAGGAGCUUGCUCUUCUUGGAUGAGUUGCGAACGGGUGAGUAACGCGUAGGUAACCUGCCUUGUAGCGGGGGAUAACUAUUGGAAACGAUAGCUAAUACCGCAUAACAAUGGAUGACACAUGUCAUUUAUUUGAAAGGGGCAAUUGCUCCACUACAAGAUGGACCUGCGUUGUAUUAGCUAGUAGGUGAGGUAACGGCUCACCUAGGCGACGAUACAUAGCCGACCUGAGAGGGUGAUCGGCCACACUGGGACUGAGACACGGCCCAGACUCCUACGGGAGGCAGCAGUAGGGAAUCUUCGGCAAUGGGGGCAACCCUGACCGAGCAACGCCGCGUGAGUGAAGAAGGUUUUCGGAUCGUAAAGCUCUGUUGUAAGUCAAGAACGAGUGUGAGAGUGGAAAGUUCACACUGUGACGGUAGCUUACCAGAAAGGGACGGCUAACUACGUGCCAGCAGCCGCGGUAAUACGUAGGUCCCGAGCGUUGUCCGGAUUUAUUGGGCGUAAAGCGAGCGCAGGCGGUUUGAUAAGUCUGAAGUUAAAGGCUGUGGCUCAGCCAUAGUUCGCUUUGGAAACUGUCAAACUUGAGUGCAGAAGGGGAGAGUGGAAUUCCAUGUGUAGCGGUGAAAUGCGUAGAUAUAUGGAGGAACACCGGUGGCGAAAGCGGCUCUCUGGUCUGUAACUGACGCUGAGGCUCGAAAGCGUGGGGAGCGAACAGGAUUAGACACCCUGGUAGUCCACGCCGUAAACGAUGAGUGCUAGGUGUUGGAUCCUUUCCGGGAUUCAGUGCCGCAGCUAACGCAUUAAGCACUCCGCCUGGGGAGUACGACCGCAAGGUUGAAACUCAAAGGAAUUGACGGGGGCCCGCACAAGCGGUGGAGCAUGUGGUUUAAUUCGAAGCAACGCGAAGAACCUUACCAGGUCUUGACAUCCCGAUGCUAUUUCUAGAGAUAGAAAGUUACUUCGGUACAUCGGUGACAGGUGGUGCAUGGUUGUCGUCAGCUCGUGUCGUGAGAUGUUGGGCUAGGUCCCGCAACGAGCGCAACCCCUAUUGUUAGUUGCCAUCAUUCAGUUGGGCACUCUAGCGAGACUGCCGGUAAUAAACCGGAGGAAGGUGGGGAUGACGUCAAAUCAUCAUGCCCCUUAUGACCUGGGCUACACACGUGCUACAAUGGUUGGUACAACGAGUUGCGAGUCGGUGACGGCAAGCUAAUCUCUUAAAGCCAAUCUCAGUUCGGAUUGUAGGCUGCAACUCGACUACAUGAAGCUGGAAUCGCUAGUAAUCGCGAAUCAGAAUGUCGCGGUGAAUACGUUCCCGGGUCUUGUACACACCGCCCGUCACACCAUGGGAGUCAGUAACGCCCGAAGUCAGUGACCCAACCGCAAGGAGGGAGCUGCCGAAGGUGGGACCGAUAACUGGGGUGAAGUCGUAACAAGGUAGCCG